GACUGCGAUCAUAUCAGCGUUAAUGCACCGGAUCCCAUCAGAACUCCGCAGUUAUGCGGGCUUGGGCUAGAGUAGUACUAGGAUGGGUGACCUCCUGGGAAGUCCUAGUGUUGCACCCU
Non-coding RNA from Picea glauca (white spruce), 119 nucleotides. NCBI's taxonomy places the organism in Eukaryota, Viridiplantae, Streptophyta, Pinopsida, Pinales, Pinaceae. The record is from Rfam.